RNAcentral lists this ribosomal RNA (498 nucleotides) under uncultured bacterium. Its description in RNAcentral is "bacterial SSU rRNA". It matches the Rfam family "Bacterial small subunit ribosomal RNA", at positions 28 to 509 of the family's 1533-position model. The record is from RNAcentral.
GAUGAACGCUAGCGGCAGGCUUAAUACAUGCAAGUUGAGGGGCAGCAUGAUAUACGCGAGUAUAUUGAUGGCGACCGGCGGACGGGUGAGUAAUAGGUAGGAGACCUACCUCAUACAGGGGGAUAGCAUAGAGAAAUCUGUGGUAAUACCCCAUGAGGUUAUAUGAAUAGAGGCAUAUAAUCAAAGCAUAAGCGAUUAUGCGGUAUGAGAGGGGCCUACUGACCAUUAGCUAGUUGGUGAGGUAAGGGCUCACCAAGGCGAAGAUGGUUAGGGGUUUUGAGAGAGAGACCCCCCACAUUGGAACUGAGAGACGGUCCAGACUCCUACGGGAGGCAGCAGUAGGGAAUAUUGGGCAAUGGGCGAAAGCCUGACCCAGCCAUGCCGCGUGAAGGAGACGGCCUUAUGGGUUGUAAACUUCUUUACUACGCGUAAAUAGAGGUUUAGUACGAGAUACUAAUAGGAAGGUAGUGUAGUAAAAGCACCGGCUAACUCCGUGCC